This 203-nucleotide long non-coding RNA is filed under the name Mytilus galloprovincialis (Mediterranean mussel). Lineage: Eukaryota; Metazoa; Mollusca; Bivalvia; Mytilida; Mytilidae. The record is from RNAcentral.
AAUUGCUCAAAGGCAAAAAAAAGUAUUUUAAGUUCAUUAGACCACAUUCAUUCUGUGUCAGAAACCUAUGCUAUGUCAACUAUUUAAUCACAAUCCAAAUUUAGAGCUGAAUCCAGCUUGAAUGUUGUGUCCAUACUUGCCCCAACCGUUCAGGGUUCAACCUCUGUGGUCGUAUAAAGUUGCGCCCUGCGGAGCAUCUGGUU